UGGUGGAGCGAUUUGUCUGGUCAAUUCCGAUAACGAACGAGACUCUAGCCUACUAAAUAGUUCGGGGACCCCCACAAAGGGGCCCCGCUCACUCUUAGAGGGACAGGUGGCGUUUAGCCACACGAGAUUGAGCAAUAACA
Molecule: ribosomal RNA, 140 nt
Filed under: uncultured eukaryote
Lineage: Eukaryota
Description: partial 18S ribosomal RNA
Rfam family: Eukaryotic small subunit ribosomal RNA
Source: RNAcentral